This is a small nuclear RNA of Trichechus manatus latirostris (Florida manatee), 102 nucleotides long. Lineage: Eukaryota; Metazoa; Chordata; Mammalia; Sirenia; Trichechidae. The record is from RefSeq and is a predicted model, not a curated record.
UUGCUUCAGCAGCACAUACAGUAAAACCAGAAUGACACAGAGUAGAUUAUCAUGGCCCCUGUGCAAGUAUGACACACAAUUUGUGAAGAGUUCCAUAUUUUU